Long non-coding RNA from Homo sapiens (human), 926 nucleotides. RefSeq lists it as uncharacterized. The record is from RefSeq and is a predicted model, not a curated record. The transcript is spliced from 2 exons. NCBI's taxonomy places the organism in Eukaryota, Metazoa, Chordata, Mammalia, Primates, Hominidae.
AGGGCACAGGGCAGGGCAGGAGCAAGAGCCUCAGGCCUCUCCAGAAGAAAUCAGCCUGUCUGGGUGCUGUUCUCAGCUGGGGUUGCUGGGAAAGAGUGAGGGAUGUCUGCUGUACAGAAAACAUCAGCCUGGAAGACUGCUUAUGAAUCCACCUGCUGCCACUUGCUGCCACGGUUCCUAUUCUCACCUGGCCUGCGUCAAUUCAGUUAAACCAAGUCCAUCCUUCAUGCAGUUUUCCUGCACAAAGUGACUUCCGUGGGUACCCCCAGCUCCUUGCACAUCUUCUGUGAUGGACUUGAAAUUCCAGGGCAGCUUUUUCUUCUACCAGUAUACCCGUGACUUUCCCCCUACUGCCCACCUGGUUGGAAUGCGAUGGCGUGAUCUCGGCUCACUGCAACCUCCGCCUCCCGGGUUCAAGCAAUUCUCCUGCCUCAACCUCCAAAGUAACUGGGAUUUACAGGCACCCACCACCACUCCCAGCUAAUUUUUUUGUAUUUUUAGUAGAGAUGGGGUUUCACUUUUUUGGCCAGGCUGGUCUCAAACUCCUGACCUCAGAUGAUCCGCCCAUCCUGGCCUCCCAAAGUGCUGGGAUUAUAGGCAUGACCCACCGUACCCGGCCGGGUACCACACACUUUUAAACAGCCAGCUCUCACAAGAACUCACUAUCAUGAGUACAGCACCAAGACAUUCAUGAGGGAUCUGCCCCCAGGACACAAACACCGCCCACCAGGCCCCACUUCCAACAUUGCAAUCACUUUUCAACGUGAGAUUUGGAGGGGACGAAUAUUCAAACCAUAUCAGUGCCCACAGUGGCAACUGGCUUGCUAACAUACCCCACAUUGUUGCCCCCAUCCCCUGCCUCACUUCCCCGCUCCCCUACCUAUGUUUCCUGGGAUCAAACUGCAAAUAAACUGCUUCCACUCAAA